CCUUUCACCCCAGAGCAUCCCAGAUUCCCAAAUCCCACCCAACCACCUCUCCCCAAAACCACCUCAGACCAGCGCAUGGCCCAAAUCCUGCCCUUUCCAACCCAAAAAAGCCACGUCUGGUGACAACAUCACCCCUGGGACAGAGGGAUGUACCCCAUAUCCUCAUCCCAGCCCCAUCCUGGCUGCGGCUCUUUGCACGGAACCCCCCGAAAUCCCGGGAGCGCGGCGCUCCGCGCGCAUCCCGCCGGCACCGCGGGAUCCGGGCCGCGGUUCCGGAUCGCUCCGGGGAACCGCCCGGGAAAACCUUUUCAUCCCAAAUCCAUAUUGUUCCCACCCAGCGGGGCGACCAUUCAACCUCCCACCAGGCGCAAGGGUUGGGCUUCCAGCCGGAAAUUUCCGUCCCAAGGUACAAAAAAAAUCAUAGCUGGCCCCAAAAAAAAUAAAAGUGGAAUUGGGGUGGGGUGGGAGGUGGGGGGAAGGGAGAGAAAAAAAAAAAAUUCCUCGUCCUCCUUCCCGCGCGUUGGGGCUCUCCAAAUAUUUCUGUGGAUCCCAAGGGGUCCCGAGGGGACAAAGCACGGACACGGCGCGGCUGCCCCGAACAAUGGGGCCGGAUAUUUUCUGAUGUGAGCGGAGCCGGAUCAUAUCCGGCCUACCAGGCGCUCUAGGAAAAAUAAUUGAUUUUUUUUAAAAAAAAAAAGGAAUAAAGGAAAAAAAAAAUUAUAUAUUUUCUGUAAAAA
Molecule: non-coding RNA, 737 nt
Organism: Lonchura striata (white-rumped munia)
Lineage: Eukaryota; Metazoa; Chordata; Aves; Passeriformes; Estrildidae
Source: RefSeq, a predicted model, not a curated record